This 451-nucleotide long non-coding RNA is filed under the name Medicago truncatula (barrel medic). RNAcentral describes it as "long non-coding RNA (MTRU_LNC007897)". Lineage: Eukaryota; Viridiplantae; Streptophyta; Magnoliopsida; Fabales; Fabaceae. The record is from RNAcentral.
UUUUUUACUUAUAAUUUGCGACAAAGAAAAUGAAUUUAAUUCCUUAUAAUUUGAGACGGAGGAGUAUUAUUAAUCUUCAAAUCUUAUACCAGACUAACAGUGUUGCUAGGUAGCAUAUGGCUCUAUGAUUAUAUUUUGUAUUGGUUUUGAUUAGGUAAUAAUUGUCUUCCUAAACAUUUAUAUUGUUAUCAUUCACUACUCUCGAUAAACAACCUUUCUUGAAAAUCCAGAUAGCAUGGUACGUACAUACUCCACCGGGUGUAGCCAAGACUGUUGUCUAUUUGGCUUCACAAAAAUGGGUAAGGGUUUGAUACAAGCCUACAUCAAUGCUUGCUUGCUAAAAAGAGCUUCAAUGAAGAGAGACUCCCAAUUAUACAAGUGUAUUCUCCUUUUCCAGCUACUGCACCAAAAUUUACAUAUUAACUUUUCAAGCUGCUCUCCAAAAAAAAAA